This is a long non-coding RNA of Canis lupus familiaris (dog), 434 nucleotides long. RefSeq lists it as uncharacterized. Lineage: Eukaryota; Metazoa; Chordata; Mammalia; Carnivora; Canidae. The record is from RefSeq and is a predicted model, not a curated record. The transcript has 3 exons.
AAUGGUUUCAUCUUUGCAAAUGUCACUUUCCUCCUAAGGAUAAACAUAAAAGAAGGUAGUUCUGACUCGUAUUAUUAGUCAGGCGGCAAUGCUAGAAGCUAUAAUUCAAAGGGUUGGAGAAUUUGCAGAAAAUGAGGAACAGGAGGAUAUGAGAGCCAAGGUCUGCAGAGACCAUGCAGUCGCUAGAACUCACAUCAGCCCUUACCCUCCACGUGGCACCAGAUUAUCUUGAAGACAAGCCCUGUGUCUUGGGACUAGUAUACCGAACAUGCCUGGGAAAGCUCACGGAAGUGUGCAGACUCCACUCCAUACAACAGUCUCUCCUUGGACCAAACACCCAUGACAAAUUCAAAACAGUUGCCUGGGAUUUGGCUACUGCUUAACAGGUAGUUAUAAACCAUUCUGUGGUGCUAACCGAGCCGGCAUGAAGAAGC